This 427-nucleotide ribosomal RNA is filed under the name uncultured bacterium. RNAcentral describes it as "partial 16S ribosomal RNA". It matches the Rfam family "Bacterial small subunit ribosomal RNA", at positions 355 to 774 of the family's 1533-position model. The record is from RNAcentral.
UGGGGAAUAUUGCACAAUGGGCGCAAGCCUGAUGCAGCCAUGCCGCGUGUAUGAAGAAGGCCUUCGGGUUGUAAAGUACUUUCAGCGGGGAGGAAGGCGAUAAGGUUAAUAACCUUGUCGAUUGACGUUACCCGCAGAAGAAGCACCGGCUAACUCCGUGCCAGCAGCCGCGGUAAUACGGAGGGUGCAAGCGUUAAUCGGAAUUACUGGGCGUAAAGCGCACGCAGGCGGUCGGUCAAGUCGGAUGUGAAAUCCCCGGGCUCAACCUGGGAACUGCAUUCGAAACUGGCAGGCUAGAGUCUUGUAGAGGGGGGUAGAAUUCCAGGUGUAGCGGUGAAAUGCGUAGAGAUCUGGAGGAAUACCGGUGGCGAAGGCGGCCCCCUGGACAAAGACUGACGCUCAGGUGCGAAAGCGUGGGGAGCAAACA